UAAAAAUGUUUAUAGUUUUAAUAAUUUAUUUAAAAUUUAUUUUACAUAUAAAUUUUAGUGUUAAGUUUUAAUUUAUUUUAAUAAUAAAUUAAAUUAAUAUUGUAGUAAUUAAUAUUAAAAUAUUUAAGAAAUUAAGAUUUAAUAAUAUUUAAAUUAAUAACAAAUUUUGUGCCAGCAGUUGCGGUUAAACAAAAAUUGAAUUAAAUUUUAUUAGUAAUUAAUUAAUAAAUUAAUUUAUAAUUUAAAUUUUAAAUUAUUAGGUGAAAUUUUAAUUUAAUAAAAUAUUAUAAUAGUUUUAUGAUUUAAUAACUUUUAUUAAAGACUAGGAUUAGAUACCCUAUUAUGAAAAAUUUUAAAUUUAACAUACUAAAAUAGUAGAUGAUUAUUCAUUGAAACUUAAAUAAGUUGGCGGUAUUUUAGUUCAUUUAGAGGAAUCUGUUUAAUAAUUGAUAUUCCACGAAUAAAUUUACUUAAUUUAUAAUUUUGUAUAUCGUUGUUAUAAAAAUAUUUUUUAAUAAUGUUAAUAUUUAAAAAUUUAUAAUAUAAAUUAAAUCAGAUCAAGAUGCAGAUUAUAAUUAAGAAUAUAAUGGAUUACAAUAAUUUUAUUUAGAUGAAUUUUAAUUUGAAAAAAUUAAUUGAAAGUGGAUUUAAAUGUAAUUUUAUUUAAUUUAAUAAAAUGAUUAUAAAUUGAAAUAUGUACAUAUUGCCCGUCGCUUUCAUAUAAAUAAAAAUUGAAAUAAGUCGUAACAAAGUAGAGGUACUGGAAAGUGUUUCUAGAAAGA
This 782-nucleotide non-coding RNA is filed under the name Callimorpha dominula. The record is from RNAcentral. Lineage: Eukaryota; Metazoa; Arthropoda; Insecta; Lepidoptera; Erebidae.